AUUGAACGCUGGCGGCAGGCCUAACACAUGCAAGUCGGACGGUAGCACAGAGGAGCUUGCUCUUCGGGUGACGAGCGGCGGACGGGUGAGUAAUGUCUGGGGAUCUGCCCGAUAGAGGGGGAUAACCACUGGAAACGGUGGCUAAUACCGCAUAACGUCGCAAGACCAAAGAGGGGGACCUUCGGGCCUCUCACUACCGGAUGAACCCAGAUGGGAUUAGCUAGUAGGCGGGGUAACGGCCCACCUAGGCGACGAUCCCUAGCUGGGCUGAGAGGAUGACCAGCCAAACUGGAACUGAGACACGGUCCAGGCUCCUACGGGAGGCAGCAGUGGGGAAUAUUGCACAAUGGGCGCAAGCCUGAUUCAGCCAUGCCGCGUGUAUGAAGAAGGCCUUCGGGUUGUAAAGUACUUUCAGCGGGGAGGAAGGCGAUGUGGUUAAUAACCGCGUCGAUUGACGUUACCCGCAGAAGAAGCACCGGCUAACUCCGUGCCAGCCGCCGCGGUAA
This 506-nucleotide ribosomal RNA is filed under the name uncultured bacterium. Its description in RNAcentral is "partial 16S ribosomal RNA". It matches the Rfam family "Bacterial small subunit ribosomal RNA", at positions 29 to 523 of the family's 1533-position model. The record is from RNAcentral.